Molecule: transfer RNA, 130 nt
Filed under: Acidobacteriota bacterium
Lineage: Bacteria; Pseudomonadati; Acidobacteriota
Description: Acidobacteria bacterium (soil metagenome) tRNA-Cys
Source: RNAcentral
GGCGGUGGUACGGCAAACGGCUAAGUUCUUUGUUUUCCAUACUCUUACAAGGUCCAACAAAAACCGCGAAAGCGCUUCGGGAGGUCUGCAAAACCUUUAUGCGUCGGUUCGAUCCCGACCCGCGCCUCCA